UACGGGGGGGGCAAGCGUUGUUCGGAAUUACUGGGCGUAAAGGGCUCGUAGGCGGCCAACUAAGUCGGAUGUGAAAUCCCCAGGCUUAACCUGGGAACUGCAUCCGAUACUGGAUGGCUUGAAUCCGGGAGAGGGAUGCAGAAUUCCAGGUGUAGCGGUGAAAUGCGUAGAUAUCUGGAGGAACACCAAUAGCGAAGGCAGCUCGCUGGGACGGUAUUGACGCUAAGGCGCGAAAGCGUGGGGAGCAAACAGG
Molecule: ribosomal RNA, 253 nt
Filed under: uncultured bacterium
Lineage: Bacteria
Description: partial 16S ribosomal RNA
Rfam family: Bacterial small subunit ribosomal RNA
Source: RNAcentral